RNAcentral lists this ribosomal RNA (704 nucleotides) under uncultured delta proteobacterium. RNAcentral's name for it is "bacterial SSU rRNA". It matches the Rfam family "Bacterial small subunit ribosomal RNA", at positions 35 to 711 of the family's 1533-position model. Lineage: Bacteria; Deltaproteobacteria. The record is from RNAcentral.
GCUGGCGGCGUGCUUAACACAUGCAAGUCGCACGAGAACGCUUCAGCUUGCUGAGGCUAGUAAAGUGGCGCACGGGUGAGUAACGCGUGGGUAAUCUACCUCCAAAUUGGGGAUAACAUUGCGAAAGCGAUGCUAAUACCGAAUAAUAUCUCAAAAGUUUCGGCUUUUGAGAUCAAAGGUGGCCUCUCCAUGGAAGCUACUGUUAGGAGAUGAGCCCGCGUACCAUUAGCUUGUUGGUAGGGUAAUGGCCUACCAAGGCAACGAUGGUUAGCUGGUCUGAGAGGAUGAUCAGCCACACUGGAACUGACACACGGUCCAGACUCCUACGGGAGGCAGCAGUGAGGAAUUUUGCGCAAUGGGGGAAACCCUGACGCAGCAACGCCGCGUGAGUGAUGAAGGCUCUUGGGUCGUAAGGCUCUGUCAGAGGGGAAGAACCUCCUAACGUAUAAUACACGUUAGGCCUGACGGUACCCUCAGAGGAAGCACCGGCUAACUCCGUGCCAGCAGCCGCGGUAAUACGGAGGGUGCAAACGUUGUUCGGAAUUAUUGGGCGUAAAGAGCAUGUAGGCGGUCUGUCAAGUCUGAUGUGAAAGCCCCGGGCUCAACCCCGGAAGUGCAUUGGAAACUGGCAGACUUGAGUACCGGAGAAGAAAGUGGAAUUUCGAGUGUAGGGGUGAAAUCCGUAGAUAUUCGAAAGAACACCA